GCUUUCAUAGCUCAAUAGGUUAGAGCUGCUCCCUCUUAAGGAGAAGGUUUGGGGUUCGAGUCCCUAUGGAAGCA
Molecule: transfer RNA, 74 nt
Filed under: Crassvirales sp.
Lineage: Duplodnaviria; Heunggongvirae; Uroviricota; Caudoviricetes; Crassvirales
Description: tRNA-Lys
Rfam family: tRNA
About the family: Transfer RNA (tRNA) molecules are approximately 80 nucleotides in length. Their secondary structure includes four short double-helical elements and three loops (D, anti-codon, and T loops).
Source: RNAcentral